AGCUAUCAAAAACUGCCUGCCAUCUUUCCAAAUCAUGUCUCUCCUGCAGUGACCAGGACUUAAUCCUGAAGGAAAACAAGGAAACAAAAGCAUGGUGGUGAAUCAAUGUUGCAGUUCAAGCUCUGAAAGAGAAUUUCUAUUAAAAUGGACAACAGAUGUGAACAAAGAAAAGAAGUGGAUCAAAGAUGUGAACCCCAUUCGUGAGAUUAUUUGCAAACACAAAGCAUUGUUAAAGCCAGUGACAACUGUCAACUAAGUCUCAAAAUGGCCCUAUGGCAAUGAAGGAUGAAGAGAAUAACAGGACUUAUUGUUCGCUGAUGAUCAUUAAGCAGAUAUCAGGAAAGUUCAGGUGAGAAACUUUACCUGAGGUCGUAGAAGAAAAUGGGGAAAAGUGUUGGGUUUGUCCUUACUUUAAAAGCUGGCUUUUCAUUCUAAGAAACAUGAACUAGAUCAACAAUAAAGAUACUAAGCACUUAUUUUAGGACUCUGAAAAUGUUCUAAGGUCUAUGGAACAACUUUGAAAGGCUCUCUUUUGAUAAGGAUAUUUGUGUAAGGAAAAGAAAGAUUGUAGUUCAAAUUUUCCUGGUCAAUGAUCUCAAAUGGCAGGGGUACUCAAAUCAAGUCCAAAAGCUGUUCCAAAUUCUAAAUCAGAAAACAAAUUAAUUAUUCUUAAAUGUUUAGGUAACAUAUACAUUACAGUUAGCCUGGUUAGUAUAGUCAUAAAAUAGUAUUUUUAUGUGCUAAUUUCUUUUUUUAUGGUGGGCAUUCAUAUCAGUUUUAUUCAGUGAGGAGCAUUGUCUUAGGAAUUUAAAUGAUUGUAGAGGCUGCCUGUAACAUUUUAUUUGCUCAAAGUUAAUCAUCAAAAUGGAAAUAAUAUUUUUUUCCUUUUUUUUGAGGAAGAUUAACCCUGAGCUAACGU
Long non-coding RNA from Equus quagga, 919 nucleotides. RefSeq lists it as uncharacterized. Lineage: Eukaryota; Metazoa; Chordata; Mammalia; Perissodactyla; Equidae. The transcript is spliced from 3 exons. The record is from RefSeq and is a predicted model, not a curated record.